This 441-nucleotide ribosomal RNA is filed under the name uncultured bacterium. RNAcentral's name for it is "partial 16S ribosomal RNA". It matches the Rfam family "Bacterial small subunit ribosomal RNA", at positions 338 to 795 of the family's 1533-position model. The record is from RNAcentral.
CCUACGGGAGGCAGCAGUGGGGAAUAUUGCACAAUGGGGGGAACCCUGAUGCAGCGACGCCGCGUGGGUGAAGGAGUAUUUCGGUAUGUAAAGCCCUAUCAGCAGGGAAGAACAAUGACGGUACCUGACGAAGAAGCACCGGCUAAAUACGUGCCAGCAGCCGCGGUAAUACGUCUGGUGCAAGCGUUAUCCGGAGUUACUGGGGGUAAAGGGAGCGCAGGCGGCGCGUUAAGCCUGGUGUGAAAGCCCGGGGCCCAACCGCGGGACUGCAUUGGGAACUGGCGCGCUGGAGUGCCGGAGGGGUAGGCGGAAUGCGUAGUGUAGCGGUGAAAUGCGUAGAUAUUAGGAGGAACACCAGUGGCGAAGGCGGCCUACGGGACGGUGACUGACGCUGAGGCUCGAAAGCGUGGGGAGCAAACAGGAUUAGAUACCCUUGUAGUC